GCAGAGUAGCUUCAGGCGCGUUAAGUGUUCAUGAACGGGGAGUUGUCAUGAAACGAAACCGAUUCGGUGCGGUGCCUGCGGCGCAUCCCGCUGC
Molecule: non-coding RNA, 94 nt
Filed under: bovine gut metagenome
Description: THF riboswitch
Rfam family: THF (Tetrahydrofolate) riboswitch aptamer
About the family: THF riboswitch presents a pseudoknot that joins P1-P2 and the loop of P3 and two THF binding.
Source: RNAcentral